AACGCAUAUUGCGCUCGAGGCUCCGGCCGAGAGCAUGCCUGUCUCAGCGUCGGCUCACCCCCUCGCCCCCCAUUCAUCCUCGAAUGCCGGGAGCGGAUGUGGCCGUCUCGCUUUUUUCCAAACAAAAGAAGCGGGUCGGCUGAAGCGCAGGGCUUGCGGCGGACCCUCGCGAAGGGGCGCCAGCAUGGUAGGUGGCCUCUGAGCUGCAUGCCGCUGUCGUCUUGCCUUCACCCAAGAGGUUUCCAUAACCGCGCGGCCAAGCAGGAACCGAUUGUUUUCUCGUGGAGAAAAAACAAUCCAAACCUUCGACCUGAGAUCAGACAAGACCACCCGCUGAACUUAA
RNAcentral lists this unclassified non-coding RNA (343 nucleotides) under uncultured fungus. RNAcentral's name for it is "partial contains 5.8S ribosomal RNA, internal transcribed spacer 2, and large subunit ribosomal RNA". The record is from RNAcentral. Lineage: Eukaryota; Fungi.